UUGGGAAAAUGAGGAGCAAAACGACACCGUAAGGUUCUUCCGGACAACAUUCAGGGAAUUACGAAGCCGGCAAUCCGCCGGCUUGCACGACGUGGUGGCGUGAAGCUUUAAUACGGUCUGAUUUAUGAAGAGACACGUGUCGUGUUGAAGAUAUUCUUGGAGAAUGUGAUAAGAGACACGGUUACGUACGCGGAGCAUGCAAGGAGGAAGACUGUUACUGCCAUGGAUGUUUAUGCGUUGAAGAGGCAGGGGCAUACGCUGUAUGUUUUGGUGGUUAGGAGGUUUGUUAGUGGUAGUUGUGUAAUUGAAGUUUGUUUGGGAAUCAAGUGAUUUUGAAUGGAUUUUGCUUU
Molecule: long non-coding RNA, 350 nt
Filed under: Helianthus annuus (common sunflower)
Lineage: Eukaryota; Viridiplantae; Streptophyta; Magnoliopsida; Asterales; Asteraceae
Description: hypothetical non coding rna
Source: RNAcentral